This 406-nucleotide ribosomal RNA is filed under the name uncultured bacterium. RNAcentral describes it as "partial 16S ribosomal RNA". It matches the Rfam family "Bacterial small subunit ribosomal RNA", at positions 29 to 526 of the family's 1533-position model. The record is from RNAcentral.
AUUGAACGCUGGCGGCAGGCCUAACACAUGCAAGUCGAACGAGUGGCGGACGGGUGAGUAAUGUCUGGGAAACUGCCUGAUGGAGGGGGAUAACUACUGGAAACGGUAGCUAAUACCGCAUACCAUCGGAUGUGCCCAGAUGGGAUUGGCUAGUAGGGGGGGUAAAGGCUCACCUAGGCGACGAUCCCUAGCUGGUCUGAGAGGAUGACCAGCCAAACUGGAAGUGAGACAGGGUCCAGACUCCUACGGGAGGCAGCAGUGGGGAAUAUUGCACAAUGGGCGCAAGCCGGAUGCAGCCAUGCCGCGUGUAUGAAGAAGGCCUUAGGGUUGGAAAGUACUUUCAGCGGGGAGGCGUUACCCGAAGAAGAAGCACCGGCUAACUCCGUGCCAGCAGCCGCGGUAAUUC